This 253-nucleotide ribosomal RNA is filed under the name uncultured bacterium. Its description in RNAcentral is "partial 16S ribosomal RNA". It matches the Rfam family "Bacterial small subunit ribosomal RNA", at positions 524 to 776 of the family's 1533-position model. The record is from RNAcentral.
UACGGAGGGUGCAAGCGUUGUUCGGAUUUAUUGGGCGUAAAGCGCGUGUAGGCGGUUUCUUAAGUCUGAUGUGAAAGCCCUGGGCUCAACCCAGGAAGUGCAUUGGAUACUGGGAGACUUGAAUACGGGAGAGGGUAGUGGAAUUCCUAGUGUAGGAGUGAAAUCCGUAGAUAUCGGGAGGAACACCGGUGGCGAAGGCGGCGACCUGGGUCGACACUGACGCUGAGGCGCGAAAGCGUGGGGAGCAAACAGG